This 223-nucleotide ribosomal RNA is filed under the name uncultured bacterium. Its description in RNAcentral is "partial 16S ribosomal RNA". It matches the Rfam family "Bacterial small subunit ribosomal RNA", at positions 524 to 743 of the family's 1533-position model. The record is from RNAcentral.
UACGUAGGGGUGCAAGCGUUAAUCGGAAUUACUGGGCGUAAAGCGUGCGCAGGCGGUUUUGUAAGUCUGUCGUGAAAUCCCCCGGGCUCAACCUGGGAAUUGCGAUGGAGACUGCAAGGCUAGAAUCUGGCAGAGGGGGGUAGAAUUCCACGUGUAGCAGUGAAAUGCGUAGAGAUGUGGAGGAACACCGAUGGCGAAGGGCAGCCCCCUGGGUCAAGAUUGA